CCUACGGGUGGCAGCAGUGGGGAAUAUUGGGCAAUGGGCGCAAGCCUGACCCAGCAACGCCGCGUGAAGGAAGAAGGCCCUCGGGUUGUAAACUUCUUUUCUAUAGGACGAAGAAGUGACGGUACUAUAGGAAUAAGCCACGGCUAACUACGUGCCAGCAGCCGCGGUAAUACGUAGGUGGCGAGCGUUAUCCGGAUUUACUGGGUGUAAAGGGCGUGUAGGCGGGAGAGCAAGUCAGAUGUGAAAACUACAGGCUUAACCUGUAGCCUGCAUUUGAAACUGUUCUUCUUGAGUGAUGGAGAGGCAGGCGGAAUUCCUAGUGUAGCGGUGAAAUGCGUAGAUAUUAGGAGGAACACCAGUGGCGAAGGCGGCCUGCUGGACAUUAACUGACGCUGAGGCGCGAAAGCGUGGGGAGCAAACAGGAUUAGAUACCCCAGUAGUC
Molecule: ribosomal RNA, 442 nt
Filed under: uncultured bacterium
Lineage: Bacteria
Description: partial 16S ribosomal RNA
Rfam family: Bacterial small subunit ribosomal RNA
Source: RNAcentral